Non-coding RNA from Hydra vulgaris (swiftwater hydra), 565 nucleotides. The record is from RefSeq and is a predicted model, not a curated record. Lineage: Eukaryota; Metazoa; Cnidaria; Hydrozoa; Anthoathecata; Hydridae.
GUUGAGGAAGUUACACAUUAAAAAUUAUUGUCUCAAUAACUAGCCAUUACAAAAAUAAUUUGCCGUAAUGGAAAGGCAAGGAAAACUUGAUAGAAUGCAUACAUAUGGUUUGAAGCAGAGGCAGUUGCUCCAUCUUGUUCGAAAAAAGAUGGAUGGUUAUUUUGGCCGACUUGUGUUCAUGCAAUGAAAGCUACCUAUAAUAAUUUUUCAACCAUUGACUCCUGCAACAAGCUUAGACUUAAAAGAGUUAAUGUAACUGGAGAUAAAGAAGUAUGUGCAGGAUUUAAUUUCACGACUAAAGAGGACUCCGAAGAAGAAUUUCUGGUGGAACAAAGAUCGAGGAAUGAUUUGGUUUUAACUGUUUUGCAUCUUAUGAACAAAGUACAUAAUAUGAUUUAAAUUGAUGAUUUAUAGUUACACCUAUUAAAAUUCUGUAUCUCAAUGAUAUCCUGGCUUAUCGAUACGAUAUUCUGUAAAUCCACUCACAUACAAGUUUUACUUACACACGUAAUUCCUGUAAAUUCACUCACACACAUAAAUCUCAAAAAAGAUGUUUUUAUUUUUA